GAAGCUGUGCCUGGAGGUAAUUAUGAGAAUGGGUGGGACUUGAGGGAGAAGAGAGGUUUGGGUUGGUGGGCUGGGGACUCCUGCUGACAGCCCUCUGUUCCCCCAGGGUUUCUGUUCCUGGCUGACAGCCAUCUUCAGGAUAAAGGAUGAUGAGAUCCGGGACAAAUGUGGGGGCGAUGCCGUGCACUACCUGUCCUUUCAGCGGCACAUCAUCGGGCUGCUGGUGGUUGUGGGCGUCCUCUCCGUAGGCAUCGUGCUGCCUGUCAACUUCUCAGGGGACCUGCUGGAGAACAAUGCCUACAGCUUUGGGAGAACCACCAUUGCCAACCUGAAAUCAGGGAACAACCUGCUAUGGCUGCACACCUCCUUCGCCUUCCUGUAUCUGCUGCUCACCGUCUACAGCAUGCGUAGACACACCUCCAAGAUGCGCUACAAGGAGGAUGAUCUGGUGAAGCGGACCCUCUUCAUCAAUGGAAUCUCCAAAUAUGCAGAGUCAGAAAAGAUCAAGAAGCAUUUUGAGGAAGCCUACCCCAACUGCACAGUUCUUGAAGCCCGCCCAUGUUACAACGUGGCUCGCCUAAUGUUCCUCGAUGCAGAGAGGAAGAAGGCCGAGCGGGGAAAGCUGUACUUCACAAACCUCCAGAGCAAGGAGAACGUGCCCACCAUGAUCAACCCCAAGCCCUGUGGCCACCUUUGCUGCUGCGUGGUGCGAGGCUGUGAGCAGGUGGAGGCCAUUGAGUACUACACAAAGCUGGAGCAGAAGCUGAAGGAAGACUACAAGCGGGAGAAGGAGAAGGUGAAUGAGAA
This 807-nucleotide small RNA is filed under the name Pongo abelii (Sumatran orangutan). RNAcentral describes it as "retained intron". The record is from RNAcentral. Lineage: Eukaryota; Metazoa; Chordata; Mammalia; Primates; Hominidae.